RNAcentral lists this ribosomal RNA (490 nucleotides) under uncultured bacterium. Its description in RNAcentral is "partial 16S ribosomal RNA". It matches the Rfam family "Bacterial small subunit ribosomal RNA", at positions 30 to 507 of the family's 1533-position model. The record is from RNAcentral.
AUUGAACGCUGGCGGCAGGCCUAACACAUGCAAGUCGAACGGUAACAGGAAGAAGCUUGCUUCUUUGCUGACGAGUGGCGGACGGGUGAGUAAUGUCUGGGAAACUGCCUGAUGGAGGGGGAUAACUACUGGAAACGGUAGCUAAUACCGCAUAACGUCGCAAGACCAAAGAGGGGGACCUUCGGGCCUCUUGCCAUCGGAUGUGCCCAGAUGGGAUUAGCUAGUAGGUGGGGUAACGGCUCACCUAGGCGACGAUCCCUAGCUGGUCUGAGAGGAUGACCAGCCACACUGGAACUGAGACACGGUCCAGACUCCUACGGGAGGCAGCAGUGGGGAAUAUUGCACAAUGGGCGCAAGCCUGAUGCAGCCAUGCCGCGUGUAUGAAGAAGGCCUUCGGGUUGUAAAGUACUUUCAGCGGGGAGGAAGGAAGUAAAGUUAAUACCUUUACUCAUUGACGUUACCCGCAGAAGAAGCACCGGCUAACUCCGUG